This 158-nucleotide ribosomal RNA is filed under the name Alcaligenes sp. CL1. Its description in RNAcentral is "partial 16S rRNA". Lineage: Bacteria; Pseudomonadati; Pseudomonadota; Betaproteobacteria; Burkholderiales; Alcaligenaceae. The record is from RNAcentral.
AAUGGGACUAGGUCGUUACGGCGCACUCACUUCUUCCGGAAGCCCAAACAAUUUUCGAGAAAACAGUCCCUUCUUUGCCAUCAUCGCUUUUGAUAAUGAUUACUGCCAUGGACUUCUUAUUCGUGGCCGAUUGAUGCACGGUCGUCGGCGCCAUUAUG